UUAAAGAGAAUUAUAAUUAUUAUUAUAAAUCCUUAUAAUUUUGAUAAUUACUGUUGCAUAUUGUUACUAGUUUUUGGCCAUACAUUUAUUCAUACUGUAACAUGGGGUAUAUGUAGAGAUUUAAGUUUGCAAAGUUCUUUUUAACUGAAAGAUAUGUUUUUCAGUGUCUUGAGUUCCCUUGGAACUCAAGCAUAAUAGUUAAUAAAGGCUUUCUCAGCAAGUAACUCCAAAAAUUCAGCUCAUGGAUUCAUAAUUAAUAGCACUUAUCAAAAGCAAUAGCACUUAGACUUAUAUACUGUCCCAUAGUGCUUUAUAGCUCUCUCCGGGCGGUUUAAAAUUUCAGCAUAUUGCCCCCCAAUCUGGGUCCUUAAUAUCUGAAACAAAGGGGUUCAUUACUAUUAGAAGAUUACAUUCUUUUAUUGCAAUAUAUAUGAUUUCUUCCCACUUUAACAUAAUCAAGAUUUACCUGAAACUGAACCAUGCCAUUUGCCUUUUUCAUAUUAUCCUAACAUACAUAGAGUACAUGGGUGAACAGAAAAGUGCCAUAGGUAAAUAGCUUAUACAAGAAUGUAAUGAAUUAGGUCUAAUACACAAAUGGCUUUUCCAAGUAAUUUUUUUCCUAUCAACUUUAGAAGAUUGAUUUUUCUGGGAAGUCUCAUAGAAAUAAUUUCUAGCCAAUUAUAUUGACAGCAAGGUAACAACAUAACAAAUAUUUUUUUAGAUAAUACUUCAUACUUACUCCAAUAAUAUUUGGAUGGCUAAGCUCUUGCAGCAGUUUUAUUUCUCGAAGUGCUGUUCUAUUUAUACCUUAUUUGAAAGAACAUAAAAUUAAAAGACUUUGAGGUACCUUAGGUGUUUCAAAGACUGCAUUAAUAAGGAGGGCUCAAUGCUGAUAAUUCUGUCUUGAUGAUUUAUGUAUACAUUUGUAAUUGUGUAAUGCCCAUAUGAUUCAACUUUAAAAAUCCCAAAUCUAUUUGAAGUGAUCAGCCCUCUUAGAAGGACCAGAUUCUUGUUCUGGACUUUUCUUCUAGAUCUUAGAAGAAAACUUCCCCAAGUAAGAAUUGUACAGUAAUUGCUUUAUGUUUCUGAUUUAAUCAGUAGAAUUUCCAAUUAAAAAGAAAGCAAGUUUCAGAGAGAUUCCUACAAUUUCCUAUCUUUGUAUUCAAUGGUGAAUUACAGAAACUAGUUUAAUAGUAUCCUAAAGCAGUUUCAUGAUGAAUAGAUUAAGCAUGGCAUCAACUUUCCUCAUAAAAUUUACACAAACACACCAUUCUUGAAUAUUUCCAUUUACUGUAUUUUUCACACUAUAAGACUCACCUGACUAUAAGAUGUACCUAGGUUUAGAGGAGGAAAACAAGAAAAAAAAAUAUCAGGCGGAGCCUGAGAGGACCACAUAUAGGUGUCCUGUCAUGUGCCAACUCUGCCUAUUGACUCCUGCACUGCGAAAAAGAGACAGAAGAGGCGGGGUUCAGCACUGUAAAAGGACCCCACCGCCACGGCCCGGCUGCAAUUCACCAAAGGAUCGGCACUAGUCCACUGUUGGGGACCCGAGAUGAUUAUGGCAGCUACUAAAAACCUUGCAAAGCAAACAGACUUUUUGGAUAGUCUGCUCUAAUUGCCUUAUGAAUUCAAAACGUUUCUGGUACUGUAUUUUUCGCUCCAUAAGAUGCUCCUGACCAUAAGACACACCUAAGUUUAGAGGAGGAAAACAAGAAAAAAAAAUCUGCCUCUGCCUCCCAGCGUCCAUCUGAUAUUCAUCUGGAUAGCGUCCUUGCAGUGAACAGUAAACAGCCUGCCUCCUCCGUGUCUUCCACCGGGGAAGGCUGGAGCUUCGUCUCCGAGCAACUGAUCGGCAGUUAGAUCGGCCUCCUGGAAUACCGCCAAUCAGCUGUUCCAGGUGGCGGAGAUUGCUGCCGCCAUUCACCACUGCCUGUCGUCCAUAUUCACUCCAUAAGACACAGAGACAUUUCCACCCACUUUUGGGAGGAAAAAAAGUGCAUCUUAUGGAGUGAAAAUUAUGGUAAAUAAGAUGAAUUCUUAUGUUUUGAUAUACAAGAAACAGGCUAUUUCUUUUUACUUUAAUUAAAUGAUUUUUCCAAUUUA
Long non-coding RNA from Pantherophis guttatus, 2103 nucleotides. RefSeq lists it as uncharacterized. Lineage: Eukaryota; Metazoa; Chordata; Lepidosauria; Squamata; Colubridae. The record is from RefSeq and is a predicted model, not a curated record.